Molecule: long non-coding RNA, 1534 nt
Filed under: Piliocolobus tephrosceles (Ugandan red Colobus)
Lineage: Eukaryota; Metazoa; Chordata; Mammalia; Primates; Cercopithecidae
Description: lncRNA (ENSPTEG00000001353.1)
Source: RNAcentral
AUUUUUGGUACAUUUUUUGGGUACAUUUUUUUGGUACAUUUUUUUGGUACAUUUUUUUGGUACAUUUUUUUGGUACAAUUUUUUGGUGCAUUUUUUUGGUAUAUUUUUUGGUAUAUUUUUUGGUAUAUUUUUUUAUAUAUAUUUUUACUAUGUAUUUUUACUAUGUAUUUUUUUAUGAAAAUUAACUUCCAUGCAUGAAUAAAUUUUGUGUAUAACUCACUUAUUUGCGUGACGCUUUGUGCAUUUUUUUUUUUUUUUUUUUUUUAUUUAUUUUUUUUUUUUUUAUUGUGCCAGUUUUUGUGCUUGUUCUUAUUCAUAACUAACUUGCGGUGACAACAAAAAUGGAAAAGCAUCAUUUUUUAAAAGUACAAAAAGGGAAAGACAAAGAGAGAGAUAAGGAAAAAACAAAAGAAAAAAAAGAGAUGAACGAACUUGUGCCAGAGUUAGGCAGUAACACGAUUUUUAGCAUAAACUCGAUGAGUAAUGAAACUAAAAAUUAUUUUUUAACAAAUUAUAUAGCUAAGAUUCAGUAUUUAAUUGCUAAUUCGAUUAACCCCAGUUAUUAUGAAGUUUUAAAUGUGGACGUAAACACAAAUAUUAAACAUAUUCGAAAAAGUUAUUUGUUAUUGUCUAAAUUAUUUAAUGUUAAUAAAAAACUACCAAAUGAAUACAAAGAAUAUUAUUAUUUAAUACAAAAAGCAUAUAAUGUAUUAACAGAUAAAUUUGAAAAAUUUUAUUAUGACGUUUUAAAUAAUUACAUUGUUAAUGGGAGAUUAAUAGAAGAACAAAGAAAAACAUUAGAACAAGAAGCAGAUAUUAUUUAUAAAAAUAGAAUAGAAGAAUUAAAAUACUUAUAUAAUAAAAAAUUAGAAGAAGAAAGUGAAAAAAAUGGUUUAAUUAUAGAAAAGGCAUUAUACGGUAAUAUGACAUUAAAAAAACAAUAUAUAAACAAAUGUUUAGAGAUUGAAUUAAUAAAUGAAAAUCAUUUAGAAGGGCCUUAUAUAGAUUUGACUACAAUUUUACAAGCACAAAUUGAAAAUAGUUCAUUAUUAUUUAAUAAUGAACUAUUUUCAAUUUGUUUUUGUGGUGUUCCCAAACCGUUAAUUAAAAUUUGCAACAAUUAUGAAAAACAAAAAACAAUUAACUGUUAUAUAAAUUUAUUAACAGAAACAGAAAUGUAUUUAUAUAUAAGAUAUAAAUUUUUAAAUAUAUAUCACGAAUGUAUUAUUAAUGAUAGAGCAAAUUAUUCAUUACCUCAAAGUACACAUAGAGUUUUUGGAAAUCAUAUAUCAGGUCCAUUUUCACCUGUCAACAUAACAAAAAUGCAACAUUUACCUAACUCUUUUUUUGAUCACUUUUUUCAAUUUUUUGCAAAAAAUAAGUUUUAUAUCACGUUGUUAACAACGAUUAUACUUUGCGCACAAUCUGUUAAAUCAAGCUAACAUGCGCGCAUAUAAUUAGUGACAGACAAAAAUCCGACUAAACUGUAAACAGUUAAAGUUAUUACGAAUAAAUAGACAAAAGCAAUGUAACA